UUCCGUAGGUGAACCUGCGG
RNAcentral lists this ribosomal RNA (20 nucleotides) under Lactuca sativa (garden lettuce). RNAcentral describes it as "partial 18S ribosomal RNA". RNAcentral also lists the same sequence under 14 other names. Lineage: Eukaryota; Viridiplantae; Streptophyta; Magnoliopsida; Asterales; Asteraceae. The record is from RNAcentral.